GAAAGCUGAAACAGUUACAACCCUUUCUUAAUUCUCGCAAGCUUACCAAAGCCAAGAAAGAAUCUCUUAUCUCAUUACUCCUCCUCGCCCAUCUCUCAUUCCCCUUUUAUCUGAUCCUUUCUUGUCGGUUCGUUCAAAUCUUUUACCAUCUUAAUUGCUUACACUCCAAUACCUCUCUUUUCAUCCCUUUCAUUCCUUCGAUCGCUUCGCUUUAUUUCUCAGAGGAAUUUAUUGAAUUGGCCUGGUUCUUGAGAAUCAUACUAGCUGUGAUACGUGAGUUUUGACCGCUCAUCCUUGUAAAGAGGUCCCGAGAUUGCUGCUUCUUUUUUGGAGGAUUUCAGGACUUGUGAGGAGGUGAGAUGGCGUCAUUGCAAGGACCUGUUAUUUGCCCUGCUGGGCGUGCAAAACAAGCAGGAAUUUACACUCUGCCAGUGAAUGUCCCUUUGGUGAAUGCUAGGCUUAUUAGAAAUGGGUUAUGGAGAUUCAAGAGGAUCGAUGGUUACAAAACUAAAGUGGGUUUAUUUUCUCCUCAACUAAUUGCACAAGGGCGCUAUACAGUGCAGUGUUGUUUGAGUUCAUCCUCGAAUGGCAAUGGGAGCACAGCCGAGAAUUUCAAUGAAAACGAUGAAGAUUAUGUCAACUCCAGCAUAGUUGAAGCUGUUGAGGUUAAGAGUGGAGCAGAUGGUUUCACGAUCAAAAUGAGGGAUGGGAGGA
This 714-nucleotide unclassified non-coding RNA is filed under the name Hevea brasiliensis (rubber tree). The record is from RNAcentral. Lineage: Eukaryota; Viridiplantae; Streptophyta; Magnoliopsida; Malpighiales; Euphorbiaceae.